RNAcentral lists this long non-coding RNA (1182 nucleotides) under Homo sapiens (human). Its description in RNAcentral is "HSALNT0325021". The record is from RNAcentral. Lineage: Eukaryota; Metazoa; Chordata; Mammalia; Primates; Hominidae.
UUUUAUUCUAACAUAGCCCGAGUAUGUUAGGAAACUAGAGCUGCAUAACCACUGCCUCUUAACUCUGCUAGCCCUGGCAUCUUAUCUGUAUGAUUUCUGCAGUGAUGGGAGGGAAGCUAGUAGCUCUCUAGUUCAUUAAACGGAACGUCUGUCUAGGAAGAUACCAGGAAGAUAUUUUAUAAAUGAAUGUCGAUAUUUUUCCUUCCAAUGUAAUUAGAUAUUCUGUUUCAAUCUAAGGCUCUUCUUACAGGCAAAAGGAAUAAUGAAGCUUUCAACCAUGAUACAACUGAGAAGAUUUCAGCAUCCACAUAGAAAGAAAAGCAGGGCAAUGCACCCUCCAAGCUUAGGAAGGAGGCAGCCAGAGAACUCCUGGCUCCUUUGUGGGGUGAGAGAGCUGCCCUAAGGAACUCCAGGCCCAAAAGAGAGAGCAAGUGGGAUUAGCUGCUUAUUGUGUAAACUUAGAAAGGGAAAACAGAAUUAAAGUAGGGGUAAACGGGAAAAAUAGAUGAGUAAAUUUUCCUAUUGCUUUAGAAAAAAAAAAUCUAAAUUCAUAUGUAAUUUUGUAUCUACUUGUUUCCCAUCUCUACAGGCUUCACUGAGAAGAUGAACCUGCCGAUGAGGUGUGCAGAGAACUUUGGCUGCACAAGUUAAGAGGAAGAGGCUGAGUCUCAGCUCAGAGAGUGCUGGUAAUGCCAAGCACAGCAGAGCUGCCAGAGGGAUCUACUUGGAAUCUGGGGAGGCCCUGGGGAGACUAACUGGUACAAUUUAAAGAGAUGCAAAGCAAAUGAUAUGCGGGGCAAUCAUGUGAAAAGCCUGCUGCCUUACAGGAUGGACUCCAGCUGCUCAGUGGGACGGGCUGUUGGGGGCUGGGUUUUGGUAGGGCAAGAGGGCCCCGGAUGGAGUGAUGGACACUCUAACUCACUACUCCGCCGUCCAAUACAGUCCAGAUUGUUCAACAACUCUGAGAAUAAAUGGUCUUUUUUAAAAAAUUGGUGUCAAACCUACUGUACUGGGUUGAUGUGAAAUUGAAAUUGAAAUAAGUUGUAUAUAAAAUGUCUGGCACAUAGUAGUGAUCAAUAAAUAUUAAUCCCUUCCCCAGACCAAUGCUGUAUUUCCAUUUCUGGGGCACAUGCCACAUUGUCUAAAUCAAUGUUUUAUUCACUCAUACAUCAAAGAUAAUGG